This 525-nucleotide ribosomal RNA is filed under the name uncultured bacterium. Its description in RNAcentral is "bacterial SSU rRNA". It matches the Rfam family "Bacterial small subunit ribosomal RNA", at positions 777 to 1302 of the family's 1533-position model. The record is from RNAcentral.
AAUAGAUACCCUGGUAGUCCACGCCGUAAACGAGGAGUGCUAAGUGUUGGAGGGUUUCCGCCCUUCAGUGCUGCAGCUAACGCAUUAAGCACUCCGCCUGGGGAGUACGGUCGCAAGACUGAAACUCAAAGGAAUUGACGGGGGCCCGCACAAGCGGUGGAGCAUGUGGUUUAAUUCGAAGCAACGCGAAGAACCUUACCAGGUCUUGACAUCUCCUGACCGCCCUGGAGACAGGGUCUUCCCUUCGGGGACAGGAUGACAGGUGGUGCAUGGUUGUCGUCAGCUCGUGUCGUGAGAUGUUGGGUUAAGUCCCGCAACGAGCGCAACCCUUGGUUCUAGUUGCCAGCAUUCAGUUGGGCACUCUAGAGCGACUGCCGGCGACAAGUCGGAGGAAGGUGGGGAUGACGUCAAAUCAUCAUGCCCCUUAUGACCUGGGCUACACACGUGCUACAAUGGAUGGUACAAAGGGCAGCGAAGCCGCGAGGCGGAGCGAAUCCCAGAAAACCAUUCUCAGUUCGGAUUGCA